This 299-nucleotide unclassified non-coding RNA is filed under the name Hevea brasiliensis (rubber tree). Lineage: Eukaryota; Viridiplantae; Streptophyta; Magnoliopsida; Malpighiales; Euphorbiaceae. The record is from RNAcentral.
GAAGCAGCAUCCAUUUUUUGGGUACUAAUAAAUGACGGACGGGUAACGAAGAAUGACAUGUUGAAUAUUCCAAAAAAAUUGAGGAUAUAACAAGGUUAGUUAUCCUGUGGUGGUAAAACGAGGCGGUCUUGUCCUUCCACCAGCUUUGCAGAUCGAAUUAUGUCACCCGUUUUGAUCUGAGGAAGGAUAUCUCUCCCAACAGUUGUAUAUCCGAAGACCGAAAAUUGACCCUCAUCAAAUGACAAUCCUCCCAAGCCAGAAUUUCUCUUAUCGUAAAGGUAGAAGAAGAACUGACUUGG